RNAcentral lists this ribosomal RNA (1181 nucleotides) under Elaeis guineensis (African oil palm). Its description in RNAcentral is "bacterial LSU rRNA". It matches the Rfam family "Bacterial large subunit ribosomal RNA", at positions 1752 to 2905 of the family's 2925-position model. The record is from RNAcentral. Lineage: Eukaryota; Viridiplantae; Streptophyta; Magnoliopsida; Arecales; Arecaceae.
CCUCAAGCGUGAACCGACUUGCUCGGGGAAGCGUGGAGGGCCGCAGAGACCAGGGAGAAGCGACUGUUUACUAAAAACACAGGUCCGUGCGAAGUCGCAAGACGAUGUAUACGGACUGACGCCUGCCCGGUGCUGGAAGGUUAAGAGGACGGGUCAGCACGCAAGUGCGAAGCUCAGAAUUUAAGCCCCAGUAAACGGCGGUGGUAACUAUAACCAUCCUAAGGUAGCGAAAUUCCUUGUCGGGUAAGUUCCGACCUGCACGAAUGGCGUAACGACUUCUCCGCUGUCUCAACCGCGAACUCGGCGAAAUUGCACUACGAGUAAAGAUGCUCGUUACGCGCAGCAGGACGGAAAGACCCCGGGACCUUUACUAUAGCUUGGUAUUGGUGUUCGGUGCGGCUUGUGUAGGAUAGGUGGGAGACUGUGAAGCCCGGCACGCCAGUGUCGGUGGAGUCAACGUUGAAAUACCACUCUGGUCGCUCUGGAUGUCUAACCUCGGUCCGUGAUCCGGAUCAGGGACAGUGCCUGGUGGGUAGUUUAACUGGGGCGGUUGCCUCCCAAAAUGUAACGGAGGCGCUCAAAGGUUCCCUCAGCCUGGUUGGCAAUCAGGUGUCGAGUGCAAGUGCACAAGGGAGCUUGACUGUGAGACUGACAGGUCGAGCAGGGACGAAAGUCGGAACUAGUGAUCCGGCGGUGGCUUGUGGAAGCGCCGUCGCUCAACGGAUAAAAGGUACCCCGGGGAUAACAGGCUGAUCUUGCCCAAGAGUCCAUAUCGACGGCAUGGUUUGGCACCUCGAUGUCGGCUCGUCGCAUCCUGGGGCUGGAGUAGGUCCCAAGGGUUGGGCUGUUCGCCCAUUAAAGCGGUACGCGAGCUGGGUUUAGAACGUCGUGAGACAGUUCGGUCCCUAUCCGCUGCGCGCGCAGGAAACUUGAGAAGGGCUGUCCCUAGUACGAGAGGACCGGGACGGACGAACCUCUGGUGUGCCAGUUGUUCCGCCAGGAGCACGGCUGGUUGGCUACGUUCGGAAGGGAUAACCGCUGAAAGCAUCUAAGCGGGAAGCCUGCUUCAAGAUGAGGUUUCCACGGGGCUCGUCCCCGAGAGGCUCCCAGCUAGACCACUGGGUAGAUAGGCCGGACGUGGAAGGCAGGACUAACGACUGCCGUAGCUGACCGGUACUAAU